Salvelinus fontinalis (brook trout) is the source of this 672-nucleotide long non-coding RNA. RefSeq lists it as uncharacterized. The record is from RefSeq and is a predicted model, not a curated record. Lineage: Eukaryota; Metazoa; Chordata; Actinopteri; Salmoniformes; Salmonidae. The transcript has 2 exons.
GCCAUGUCACAUGAUGGACAUGAUAUAAUGAAAUAGCAGGAAAACAGAGACGGAGUGUACCCUGAGCUGAUUCAAAAAAAAUCUACGCACUCAUCUGCAAUAGCACCCGCGCAAUUGCCUCGGAGCAAAUGGGGGACCAAGUCGGGGACAGGGGCGGUCCAGAAUACGUCCCCAUCAGACGGGACAUGUCUGUCGAUUCGCGAUUGUACCUGCAGCUAUUAAGCACUUUUUGAAGGGGAAGAUCCCUUGAAAGUGCGUGUUUAUUCCAUCCAUCUACCUGGGAGUGAAAUCGGUGAUCAUCUCACGACAAUGACCCAGAACACCUCCAGGCUGUGUAAGUGCUAUUUGACCAAGAAGGAGAGUGAUCGAUUGCUGCAUCAGAUGACCUGGAAAAGCAGUCAACAAGUGCUCAGCAUAUGUGGGAACUCUUUCAAGACGGUUGGAAAAUCAUUACAGGUGAAGCUGGUUAAGAGAAUGUCAAGAAUGUGCAAAGGUGUCAUCAAGGCAAAGGGUGUCUACAUUGAAGAAUCUAAAUUCUAAAUGUAUAUUUUGAUUUGUUUCGCCGUUUUUUGGUUACUACAUGAUUCCUUGUGUUAUUUCAUUGUUUUGAUGUCUUCACUAUUAUUCUACAAUGUAGAAAAUAGUAAAAAUAAAGAAAAACCCUUGAAUGAG